CGGGAGGCAGCAGUGAGGAAUAUUGGACAAUGGUCGAAAGACUGAUCCAGCCAUGCCGCGUGCAGGAUGACUGCCCUAUGGGUUGUAAACUGCUUUUAUACGGGAAGAAAAACACCUACGUGUAGGUGACUGACGGUACCGUAAGAAUAAGGACCGGCUAACUCCGUGCCAGCAGCCGCGGUAAUACGGAGGGUCCAAGCGUUAUCCGGAAUCAUUGGGUUUAAAGGGUCCGUAGGCGGGCUAUUAAGUCAGAGGUGAAAGUUUGCAGCUCAACUGUAAAAUUGCCUUUGAUACUGAUAGUCUUGAAUUGUAGUGAAGUGGUUAGAAUAUGUGGUGUAGCGGUGGAAUGCAUAGAUAUCACAUAGAAUACCGAUUGCGAAGGCAGAUCACUAACUAUAUAUUGACGCUGAGGGACGAAAGCGUGGGGAGCGAACGGGAUUAGAUACCCCGGUAGUCCACGCCGUAAACGAUGGAUACUAGCUGUUGGAUUUUUUCAGUGGCUAAGCGAAAGUGAUAAGUAUCCCACCUGGGGAGUACGUUCGCAAGAAUGAAACUCAAAGGAAUUG
This 566-nucleotide ribosomal RNA is filed under the name uncultured bacterium. Its description in RNAcentral is "bacterial SSU rRNA". It matches the Rfam family "Bacterial small subunit ribosomal RNA", at positions 342 to 912 of the family's 1533-position model. The record is from RNAcentral.